GGCGAGGGGCGGCCCCCGAGAAGGGCUAGGGGCUCGGGGCGCCGGCGGGCCGUCAGGCCUUCCGGAUGGGGACGCGACGCCAUGCAGCUGGCUGGGCCGAGAGGGGCGGCAGGCUGCAGGGGCCCCGCGCCCGUGUUAAGAGGGGUCUGGGGGCCGGUCUGGCCGGCCUGGCUCUCCCGGCUCCCCUCAGACCUCGGCGCCCCGGAAACGCACACUUGGGGCUCCGCCGUCUCCGCUGGGAGGACUGGAGCCCUUCUCGAGCAUCCCCGCCCGCACCCGAGCAUUGACCGGUGCCCAUUGUCAGCAAGUUCUUCGGCCCCCGCCUCAUUCAGAAAUAUUUGUUAAGGUCCAUUAAAUGAAAGUCACCACAGUUGAUCAUGUGAACAGUGUCAAGAAUCAGGCCGAACCUUCAAGGAGUUUAUGUUCUAAAACGGAAGCAUGGUGGUACCUGCUUGUGGAGGCUGAGGCGGAAGGAUCGCUUGAGCCCAGGACUUUGAGGCUGCAUAAUUGCAUUGACGCUAUCCAUAGAGUGCCUGCAAUUUCAAAUAUCAGAAAGGAUCGUACGAGCUAUGAUCAUGCCACUGCACUCCAGCCUGAACCACAGAGCAAGACCCUUUCUCUCAAUAAAGUGGAAGUUUGUUCAUUU
This 646-nucleotide long non-coding RNA is filed under the name Homo sapiens (human). Its description in RNAcentral is "long non-coding RNA NONHSAT168869.1". The record is from RNAcentral. Lineage: Eukaryota; Metazoa; Chordata; Mammalia; Primates; Hominidae.